Molecule: long non-coding RNA, 5153 nt
Filed under: Xyrichtys novacula (pearly razorfish)
Lineage: Eukaryota; Metazoa; Chordata; Actinopteri; Labriformes; Labridae
Source: RNAcentral
AAACCCACAUGCAUGAGCAGGUGCCAAAGUACAAGACUCAUCUCAGCGCAUGACAAAUAUGAGGUUAGUGUAACACCUCUAGAAAAAAACCUGAACUCUGCCUUAUCUUGGUAAAAGGGAUAGAAAUUGGAAGGUAGAAUUGAAUGUCACGUUAAUGUGAGAAACUGUGUGUGAAAAAAACAUCAAAUUCAUGCAAAGUCGUCUUAGGAACAUUGUGUCUGCAUCACAGACGAACAUUUUCCCUGCCUGUUAGUCUUGCCUGUUGCCUGGUCAAAGCAAAUGCACCAUGAAAUAGCCGGUGCAGAUGCUUUUUUUCUGGUGGUCUAUGUUGUUCAUAAGCUGAAGCCAGUGUGGGGGCUAUGUAGAGACUUUCUGCUUCCCCCUUGUCACUCUAUAUUUGGUCUUAUAUUCAAAGACAGGCUAGAACAGCAAAAGAAUAUCACUCCCAUGUGUUUCACAGCAGACCGAAGUGGAAUUCAGAGACUUAUGUAAGCCAGAGAUUUCAUUAUGGACUUGUCACGCUCAAGAAGCACAAUAUACUCCUGUAUUUGAUUUCACUACUGAAACCAGAAGUGGUCAGAUUUAGCUUAAUGUUCUUCUUCUUUUCUCUUCCCUAAGUUCACUCUGUUCACUUCCUCACACAACAGUUAAAUCGUUUUAUUUUCCUAACAUGUCUCCUUUGUGUUGAGUUUCUGCAGUCUUUAAGAAGUAGCCCUUUGGAAAGAUGUUUCUCUGUUCUAAAAUGAAGUUCAUUCAUUCAUUCAAAACAGCCGCACUCGCAGUCAGAAACCAGACAGAAGCUCUUUCAAUGGGGGAGGGGCAUUAAAGUCAGUCAAUCCCAUUAAGCCAAUCAGAAAGUAGCAUGUGGUGUGACCAAGCCUGUGUUGCAUAACGUCUGAACUAGACAGAGACUGUCUACCUCCGCAGACUCAACAAUCUUCACACGCAACACUCCCUGCACUGGUAGUUUUUGUGCACAUGCAAAAUGUGGCUGCACUCGAGCCUCACCCAUCUUCUUUUGACUGCUUUGAGACCCACACCACAAAAAAACCAAACAAAAAAACAGGUAUCAUUAACUGAGAUAUCUGGGUCACUACAACAGGAGAACACUUAGUACACUUAGUACUAUGUUUAUUAUUUUUAAAUCUUAUUUUAUUUGUUUUAUUAAAUCAGUUGCAGGUGCAGGUAUUUUUAAGCCAUUUUAACUUUUUUUAUUUAGUUUUUGAAGAAAAGAUAUUUGAAGAAAAUAUAUUCUCUGUGAUUAUCAAAUGUCUUGACUCUCUCUGUACUCUGGUAUAAUUAAAAUCGUGUACAUAACAUUUUUCUGAUAAAAUUAAUUUCUGAUUGAUUCUUUCCAAUUGUAUACAGAAUACAGCUAUAAUCAGUCUUUGUAGAUGAGGUAAGAUUUUGCUCUACUACCCUGUUGGUAAGGAUAAAGAGCUACUGUAUGAACUUUGUGAUUCAUCACUCAUACUAAAGUGACUGAUUGUUGUGUUCAGGGCAUCCCAGGAUUGUGGUUGGCAACCUGAUACUAGAGGACAGAGCAAAUACAUUAGACCUUGAUUGAAUUCAUCUAUCGGGUAUUUUGUAACACUGAAAUGCAAUAUGUGACUCUGUAUGGUGUGAUAAUAACAGAUUAUUGGAUCCACUGGCUGAGGGGCAAAAUCCAUGCUUAAAAAACUCUUUGCAAACAAGUGAUUCACUCAACUUAAGCUCAACCUCUUAUGUUACUUUUUCUGUAAAGCAAUGUCUUGUUGUUAUUAGUCUUACUUGAAUAAAAUUAGUUUUAGUUUAAUAUAUCUAAAUAAAAGGAUGAAUGGAGCAAUUGUAUGUGCAAACACAGUAAGCGGUAUUACAUGAUACACAUGGCAGGUGUUGAGCUCUUUGUUGGUCUAAGCUGAGGGUCAAAAUAAGAGGAGCCACAGGGGAGCGGGUUCAAAGUGUUUGUCAUGCAUUAAAACAGAGGAAAUGAUUGGCCAAGCGGUAAAAACAACCUUGGAAUUGGAAAACACAAAGGCAACUUGCAUCCCCUGAGGACAAGGUUUUGUCUGAGCAAGAGUCAAACAAGGUCAAGGUUUUACUUCUUUGGCCGGUACAUGAUAGAGGAAAUAUUUUUGAGUGUUUUUUUCCUCCUGGACUUCAUUGAGGUGGUUGAAUACAGGAAAAGAAUAGUUUCAGAUGUGAUUUAUUAACAGACUUAAGCAAAAACUGAAUUACCAGAACCUGUGCCCUAAAUAGCCAGUGGCCUGUUAAAAUAUCAGAAAGCUGCAGAUGGUGUAUUACAGCAGUUAAAUCAGGGAUAAUUUGAAGCAAAUCAAGCCCAUGACUGAGACCUCAGCGCUAGAUUAUUAUAUUUCACCUGCUGGAAAUUCCACUUAUUUCCUGUGUUAUAUCACCGCGAUAAGAUUCAAUUGAGGAAUGAUUUGAAAUCCUCCCGGCUCUUCCUGGUGCUGCUUCAGCUGCAGUGUAGUCCUCACAAAGCACUAUUCAGGUCUGACUGUGCAUAUUUCACAGAGUUUCCUGAGAGAAAGCUAUUCUGGCCCACUGACAACACAAACACGAUCACUCUUCUACGGCCACAGGGGCUUGUGGGCCAGUUGGACAGGAAGGAUCACCAGCCUUCUUCAGAGUCAUUUCCUCUGAGCUGUCAAAGCGCCAGUCAGCCACUACAGAGUGGGUUAACUCCCUCAUAAUGUCGAGGUAGUGCUGCGCUGGCAUAGGGCCCAGCUGUUUCCUGUGUCUGCUUAAGGAGGAGCCUCUGACUCUGGACCAGAUAUCAUCUCCCCACAGAAGAUACUGGGAUACUGGAGGACAUGGUGCUAGUUCUCAAACAAACAUGGAGUAAAUCACUUUUCUGUCUCACGUGCCGCAACCACAAUGCUGCUAACAUAGAAGUAAACAAAAAUACAUUUUAGGUUCAUAUUCAAGCUUUAGAAAUACACUUUUAUUUUCUGCAAUGUCAAUUUCUAAUACAUAUGUGAAGAUCAAACUACUGUCAUGUCUGUAUGCUAGAGUUGGGUGAUAUUUAGUUUAAGACCGUAAGCAGGGACUAAAGAGCUCACCCAGCUCAUUUUAUGUAUGGUGAGCAGGUGUUUAUGUGGAUCACAAUUCCAACAGGGUGAGCAAAAUCUUGACAGAGAGGUCUUGUCCAACCCAUCACCCUCUUUAACCACUUCCUAAGAAAAUGUUUUCUGCUUUAUAUCCUGCAACCAAUGAAAGACAUAAACAAACCAGCGUGACUUAAUAAUGUAAAGAUAAAUUUACCGAUAAAAAUAAGUCCCCUUGAGUUUGAAGGCGCUAAUGGGUUUUGACACAUCAGAGUCAAGUGUUUAAGACAAAUUUAGCAGAAUUAAACUGGAAAGGCCAAUCUUGUCUGUUUAAUCCUAAUUCAUACUUCUCAAGGACAGUUUAAUACAUCUUUGUGGCAGCCACUUUCUUCUGAGAAAACCCUGAAUAUAUGGCUCUACCUUACUCCUAAAAGAAUUGAACCUGGCAGUCUUUAUUGUUUGACCUCUUUUUAAGUCAAUUAGCUACUAAGAACCAGCGAAGGAAAAUCUAGCGGGUCUUGUUUCAAAGGAGAAAAGGUUUUUAACAUCCCAUUGGCCACAGAUUGACAAAAGUGAAUCUAAACAUCCAGCUAGCUACCAUUAUGUUAGCUAGGUGUACUUUUGUGCCUGAUAGUUCAUCUUUUCUAAUUUAUCAACAGUGACUCAAGUUUUAAGCUUGCCACAUCUGAUGAUGUUGAGCUCAUCUCUCUACAUCUUUCCAUACAUGGGAAGAUUGAUGCUGCUGUGACUUUUAAAUGCGAAAGAUGAGUGAUGAUGCCAGUUUGGUUGAGCAUGAACAGCAGGGGAAAACCUACUUUGGCUCUGCCCACAGUUGAUAGUUUCAGUUUCACAAAGCAUUAUGUAAUUUCUUUAAAUAGAUAUUUAACUGAUUAAGAAGAUAAGUUGUGAUUUUAUGAGUGUUAAUGCCUUUUUUUCUGCUAAAAUAAAACUUAAAAAAAACUGUAUGGGUUUAUUUUUUCUUUUUAUGUCAAAUAUGUUGUUUUCUUUCAGGUUACAGUGAUGUGAAAGGAAGUAAGAGUAGUGGCAUGGAGCUACAUACCUGGGUAGAAAACAUGCCCAUAAUGGGCAGCACGGAUCAAAACUGGAUCUCCGGAUAAACUUUUGCCCUUCCACUCCAAGUUAUGGCAUGUGACAUUUCAAUCACCUGACCUAUAUUCGUUCACAUGUUGCAUGUUCCUCUCCCUCUAAUCUCUGGCUCACUUGGUUUUGUUUUUAGGUCAUGUGGAUCACAGAUGAGAGAACAUUCCUGCUGACCAUUGUGUGUUCAAACGUGUUUGAAGGGCGCCAGUACAGGUUGGGCUGGGUGAGUGUCUUUCUUCUGUAUAGCACAAAUACAAUGAGCAGAUUAAGGUCAUGGUUUCAUAACUUGCUCUUUUUUGUCUUCGUCCAGUGUCCCUGCAAUCGUUCUUCAGGCCGUUGCUCUGGUCAUACUUAUUGAAUAGUUUGAUUUAGGGCUGUUUCCUGCCCAGGACUGGCCCCCAGACUAUAAUAACCCAUUCACCAGAGCAGAGGUCAGGUUCUCUCUUUUCCACCACACUUUUUGUCUGAAAGUAGAGGCAUGUCUCUACACCAAUGAACUGAUGACAGCAACUGUAAUUAGUCUUAAUUACAUCUAAGUGUUUGAAUAGUUCAUGAGUAAUGUCCUUUUACAGUAUAUCUAUUCAAACACCAGCUUCUGUUUCGUGACGAUAAAAUACACUAAAACAAACUGAGAUGGUGAGUAUCUGAAUUAAAUAAAGUAAAACUUUCUGUGUAUAUAGAACAGUCCAUGUCUAGAUCAGGAUUUUAAUCUAGAUCUAUUCUGUAAAUCCAAUCAACCUUGUUUAAAGAGAAAAGCAAACUUUUGAUAGUUAUCUUAACAGCGGUUCAAAGUAUGAUGUUAGUCGGCUGAUAUGGAUUUUCACUGCUGCGGGGACCUGCAACUAUGAGCCGACACUCUGGAGUUCAUUCCCAAUAUUCUGUGCUUAUGUGGUAAAUCUGAUCUGAAGCUUGAAAGCGGAUAAAAGAAAACUUUACCUCUCUCUAAGACCCUAUGUAAGAAGCUAAAAUGUGCUUAUCACCACAAAUAAAUCCAUUUGUAAAUAA